Molecule: ribosomal RNA, 455 nt
Filed under: uncultured Gammaproteobacteria bacterium
Lineage: Bacteria; Pseudomonadati; Pseudomonadota; Gammaproteobacteria
Description: bacterial SSU rRNA
Rfam family: Bacterial small subunit ribosomal RNA
Source: RNAcentral
AGGCCUAACACAUGCAAGUCGAGCGGUAGAAAGUAGCUUGCUACUUUUGAGAGCGGCGGACGGGUGAGUAAUGCGUGGGAAUCUACCUGGUAGUGGGGGACAACAGUUGGAAACGACUGCUAAUACCGCAUACGCCCUACGGGGGAAAGCGGGGGAUCUUCGGACCUCGUGCUAUCAGAUGAGCCCGCGUGAGAUUAGCUUGUUGGUGGGGUAAUGGCCUACCAAGGCGACGAUCUCUAGCUGGUCUGAGAGGAUGAUCAGCCACACUGGGACUGAGACACGGCCCAGACUCCUACGGGAGGCAGCAGUGGGGAAUAUUGGACAAUGGGCGCAAGCCUGAUCCAGCCAUGCCGCGUGUGUGAAGAAGGCCUUCGGGUUGUAAAGCACUUUCAGCGAGGAGGAAAGGUUAAGUGUUAAUAGCACUUAGCUGUGACGUUACUCGCAGAAGAAGCACC